GAGUGCGUCAUACUCGGUACGGUAAUUCAGGUAUGUGGUCAAUCACCUGUCAAUUGAUUUGUUUCUUUUCUUCUCAAAUUUUUAGGGGAGUGCCUUUGGAAAAAGAGGGCCAGAUCUCUUCUGCGAUUGUGUCGUCUGUUCAGAGUAAAAUCACUCAGGAUCUUAUGGCCAAGGUGAGGGCGAUGCUUGCAGCUUCUAAAAAUAUUUCAACCAGUGCCUCCUGAGACGGAAGGAUGGAAGCUCCAGGAGGAACAGAAAGUCCUUGUUAGUGGCGGGGAGACGAGUCUUCCUGCGAUGCCGUUGAGUUGCAAAACUUCCUCCCACGGGGAAGGGAGCCUUGUAAAUUAUGUUCUGAUUGGUUUCUCAGUAAGAAUUUUACGACGAGAGGUGCCUGUAUAUUUGUAAAUAGGACAUUCCGGCGAGUGUUACACAAAUAAAAAUGCAGAGAAAUCCUUUUUAUUAGCUAAAGA
Molecule: non-coding RNA, 470 nt
Organism: Thamnophis sirtalis
Lineage: Eukaryota; Metazoa; Chordata; Lepidosauria; Squamata; Natricidae
Source: RefSeq, a predicted model, not a curated record